This 839-nucleotide ribosomal RNA is filed under the name Bacillus sp. (in: firmicutes). RNAcentral describes it as "bacterial SSU rRNA". It matches the Rfam family "Bacterial small subunit ribosomal RNA", at positions 73 to 896 of the family's 1533-position model. Lineage: Bacteria; Bacillati; Bacillota; Bacilli; Caryophanales; Bacillaceae. The record is from RNAcentral.
AGGGAGCUUGCUCCCGGAUGUUAGCGGCGGACGGGUGAGUAACACGUGGGUAACCUGCCUGUAAGACUGGGAUAACUCCGGGAAACCGGAGCUAAUACCGGAUAGUUCCUUGAACCGCAUGGUUCAAGGAUGAAAGACGGUUUCGGCUGUCACUUACAGAUGGACCCGCGGCGCAUUAGCUAGUUGGUGGGGUAAUGGCUCACCAAGGCGACGAUGCGUAGCCGACCUGAGAGGGUGAUCGGCCACACUGGGACUGAGACACGGCCCAGACUCCUACGGGAGGCAGCAGUAGGGAAUCUUCCGCAAUGGACGAAAGUCUGACGGAGCAACGCCGCGUGAGUGAUGAAGGUUUUCGGAUCGUAAAGCUCUGUUGUUAGGGAAGAACAAGUGCGAGAGUAACUGCUCGCACCUUGACGGUACCUAACCAGAAAGCCACGGCUAACUACGUGCCAGCAGCCGCGGUAAUACGUAGGUGGCAAGCGUUGUCCGGAAUUAUUGGGCGUAAAGGGCUCGCAGGCGGUUUCUUAAGUCUGAUGUGAAAGCCCCCGGCUCAACCGGGGAGGGUCAUUGGAAACUGGGAAACUUGAGUGCAGAAGAGGAGAGUGGAAUUCCACGUGUAGCGGUGAAAUGCGUAGAGAUGUGGAGGAACACCAGUGGCGAAGGCGACUCUCUGGUCUGUAACUGACGCUGAGGAGCGAAAGCGUGGGGAGCGAACAGGAUUAGAUACCCUGGUAGUCCACGCCGUAAACGAUGAGUGCUAAGUGUUAGGGGGUUUCCGCCCCUUAGUGCUGCAGCUAACGCAUUAAGCACUCCGCCUGGGGAGUACGGUCGCAAGACUG